CCUGAGAAACGGCUACCACAUCCAAGGAAGGCAGCAGGCGCGCAAAUUACCCACUCCCAGAACGGGGAGGUAGUGACGAAAAAUAACRAUACGGGACUCUUUUGAGACCCCGUAAUUGGAAUGAGUACACUCUAAAUCCUUUAACGAGGAUCUAUUCGAGGGCAAGUCUGGUGCCAGCMGCCGCGGUAAUUCCAGCUCGAAUAGCGUAUAUUAAAGUUGUUGCGGUUAAAAAGCUCGUAGUUGGAUCUCAGUUCCRGACGGGUGGUCYGCCAAACGGYGGUUACUGCCCGUUCUGAACAGCCMGCCGGUUUCUCUUGAUGAUCUUCACCGGUUGUCUCGGGUGACCGGCAAGUUUACUUUGAAAAAAUUAGAGUGCUCAAAGCAGGCGCGASGCCUGRAUAAUGGUGCAUGGAAUAAUGGAAUAGGACCUCGGUUCUAUUUUGUUGGUUUUCGGAACCCGAGGUAAUGAUUAAGAGGGACAGACGGGGGCAUUCGUAUUGCGACGCUAGAG
This 511-nucleotide ribosomal RNA is filed under the name Pardosa agrestis. Its description in RNAcentral is "SSU rRNA". It matches the Rfam family "Eukaryotic small subunit ribosomal RNA", at positions 397 to 921 of the family's 1831-position model. Lineage: Eukaryota; Metazoa; Arthropoda; Arachnida; Araneae; Lycosidae. The record is from RNAcentral.